This 93-nucleotide microRNA precursor is filed under the name Pelobates cultripes (western spadefoot toad). Lineage: Eukaryota; Metazoa; Chordata; Amphibia; Anura; Pelobatidae. The record is from RNAcentral.
CCCCAGAUGUUGCUGAACUACAACUCCCAUGAUUCCCUGGCUUUCUGUUUCAUUGAAAGAAUCAUGGGAGUUGUAGUUCAGCAACAUCUGGGG